UCAGGAUGAACGCUAGCGGCAGGCUAACACAUGCAAGUCGAGGGGCAACGCGAGUAGCAAUACUUGGCGGCGACCGGCGCAAGGGUGCGUAACGCGUGAGCAACAUGCCCGUAUCAGGGGGAUAAUCCAGGGAAACUUGGUCUAAUACCCCAUAGUAAUUUUGUAAGGCAUCUUAUAAGAUUUAAAGCUUUGGUGGAUACGGAUUGGCUCGCGUGACAUUAGCUGGAUGGUAAGGUAACGGCUUACCAUGGCUAUGAUGUCUAGGGGUUCUGAGAGGAAGGUCCCCCACACUGGAACUGAGACACGGUCCAGACUCCUACGGGAGGCAGCAGUGAGGAAUAUUGGACAAUGGAUGGAAAUCUGAUCCAGCCAUGCCGCGUGAAAGGAAGAAGGUCCUAUGGAUUGUAAACUUCUUUUGUAUGGGAGCAAUAAGGCCUACGAGUAGGUUGAUGAGAGUACCAUACGAAUAAGCACCGGCUAACUCCGUGCCAGCCGCCGC
Molecule: ribosomal RNA, 499 nt
Filed under: uncultured bacterium
Lineage: Bacteria
Description: bacterial SSU rRNA
Rfam family: Bacterial small subunit ribosomal RNA
Source: RNAcentral